CACAAGGGGUGAAGCCUGCGGUUCAAUUGGAGUCAACGCCAGGAAACUUACCAGGAGAGACAGCAGGUUGAGGGUCAAGCUGAAGACUUUACCUGACGAGCUGAGAGGAGGUGCAUGGCCGUCGCCAGCUCGUGCCGUGAGGCGUCCUGUUAAGUCAGGCAACGAGCGAGACCCCUGUUGGUAAUUGCUAACAGUUCAGAGAUGGAUUGAGGCUAGUUACCAAGACUGCCGCUGCUAAAGCGGAGGAAGGAGGGGGCCACGGCAGGUCAGUAUGCCCCGAAACUCCUGGGCCACACGCGGGCUGCAAUGGUAAGGACAAUCGGUUCCGACCUCGAAAGAGGAAGGCAAUCCACAAACCUUACCCCAGUUGUGAUUGAGGGUUGAAACCCGCCCUCAUGAAUAUGGAAUCCCUAGUAACCGCGUGUCAUCACCGCGCGGUGAAUACGUCCCUGCUCC
Molecule: ribosomal RNA, 456 nt
Filed under: uncultured archaeon
Lineage: Archaea
Description: bacterial SSU rRNA
Rfam family: Archaeal small subunit ribosomal RNA
Source: RNAcentral